AACGAACGCUGGCGGCAUGCCUAACACAUGCAAGUCGAACGAGACCUUCGGGUCUAGUGGCGCACGGGUGCAUAACGCGUGGGAAUCUGCCCUUGGGUUCGGAAUAACAGUUAGAAAUGACUGCUAAUACCGGAUGAUGACUUCGGUCCAAAGAUUUAUCGCCAGAGGAUGAGCCCGCGUAGGAUUAGCUAGUUGGUGUGGUAAAGGCGCACCAAGGCGACGAUCCUUAGCUGGUCUGAGAGGAUGAUCAGCCACACUGGGACUGAGACACGGCCCAGACUCCUACGGGAGGCAGCAGUGGGGGAUAUUGGACAAUGGGCGAAAGCCUGAUCCAGCAAUGCCGCGUGAGUGAUGAAGGCCUUAGGGUUGUAAAGCUCUUUUACCCGGGAUGAUAAUGACAGUACCGGGAGAAUAAGCUCCGGCUAACUCCGUGCCAGCCGCCGCCGUAA
RNAcentral lists this ribosomal RNA (449 nucleotides) under uncultured bacterium. RNAcentral describes it as "partial 16S ribosomal RNA". It matches the Rfam family "Bacterial small subunit ribosomal RNA", at positions 29 to 523 of the family's 1533-position model. The record is from RNAcentral.